CCAGCAGACACACGGAAGAAUUUUUAAUAUAAUAAUGUCCCGGCCGGCGCAGCCUCCGUCCCGCCCCUGCGCCCCUGUUAUAUAUCCGGCACAGGCUGGCCCGCUUGUUGCUCCGGCCGCGACACCCACCGGCCUAGUAGCUCUCGCCAUCCACAUCGCCUGUAGCUGCAUGCGGUGAUCGCGGCGGCGGUGCAGGCCACAGACGUACGCGCGCGGGCUGGCUGUCGGGCGCGCGGAUGCGCCGGCCGCGGCGGGCGGUGACAGAAGAGAGUGAGCACACGGCCGGGCGGAACGGCACCGGCGGAUGGUGCCGUCGCGGACGCGUGCUCACUGCUCUAUCUGUCAUCCACUCUCUCCCCCGCUCCGCUCCGGUCGCUUUGCCGCCGAUCUGUCGAAGCACCGCAGCUGACUAGCCGCCGUGAUCACCGCGCGCACCGGCCGGCGCCGCGCUUCUGGCACUAGUAGCUAGCUAGGUGGUGCACCGCUCCACACGCCCAUCUUCUUGUUCGCGUCAUUGUAUGCCGCGGAACCACCGCGCGCUAGGCGUUGGUGCCCGGCGGUACGUCGUCGUCCCGUCUCCCGUCCGCAGGAAUUUCUAUUUCUGGGCGGUUCGUACGUACGGAUGGUCUCCCCCUGGAUGCUGGAUCUGAGCUUUUUGGGCGCGCGGGUGUACCUCCUCGCACGGAUUUGCCCCCCUCCCCCUGUCGCCUGGUACGGAAGGGGAUCCACCUGCGCCCCCUGCCAACUUCUCGGGAAGGUAAAAAUCGGUAUGUUUGGUCGUCGGUGUGGAAUGUGAAUUCUUCGAUGUUCAUCGUUUGGAAGUCUCCAGAUUCUGGAUGUCGUCGCCGCCAUGGCAGAAAGGAAUUCCAAAGGCUCCAAGAGCACGCCGCCAGCCUGUCGACUCUUCCAUCUCAGUUCUCAGAUCUGCUCAUCAUCAUCAUCGUCAUCAUUCACUCCUUUCUCCUUUGUCAGGUUAGUACUGGCGCUCCCGACCCAUUCAUUAGCAGGAGAUGGAUAGAUAACGCCGCAGUCUGCAGAUCCUGUUCAUACAGUCCGUCCCUGUGUGGUAUAGAUGGUCGGCAGCAGCCAUUAUAUUUGUGAUGUCACGUUUCUGCUCGAGCCUCUACAGAAUGGCAGGGAGUAGGGACUAGGUCGCUAUCGAGACGACACUGUUCCAUUCGUGACGUCUCGUGCUUAUCUCUUCAAUGAGAUCUGCCCUGUUCGUCUUCAGUCAAUUUUUCGCUCUUGGUGAAGAUUCUUGUAGUCCUUGAUAACAGCUGUGUCGUCUGCGUAGAACGUUGUAUGUGUUUCAUCAACAUUUUAAUAUACAAUAUAUAUAUAGAGAAAGAUUGUAUAUUA
Long non-coding RNA from Zea mays, 1359 nucleotides. RefSeq lists it as uncharacterized. Lineage: Eukaryota; Viridiplantae; Streptophyta; Magnoliopsida; Poales; Poaceae. The record is from RefSeq and is a predicted model, not a curated record. The transcript has 2 exons.